CUCUUUCUUCUCUCUUCCUACUUGGCUUAUUUACAAUGGUCAUUAAAUGAAGCGUGAAAUAAGCCAAGGGGAAGAAAAGAAGAAAGACCACACACUACAUUGUCUAUCUCCUGUGUUUUCUUUGUGUUGAGUUUAAAUUGAAUAAAAGAGAAAGGGAAAAAGAGGUAA
RNAcentral lists this non-coding RNA (168 nucleotides) under Symbiodinium sp. CCMP2430. Lineage: Eukaryota; Dinophyceae; Suessiales; Symbiodiniaceae. The record is from RNAcentral.